This 547-nucleotide ribosomal RNA is filed under the name Trimeresurus salazar (Salazar's pit viper). RNAcentral's name for it is "partial large subunit ribosomal RNA". It matches the Rfam family "Bacterial large subunit ribosomal RNA", at positions 1798 to 2623 of the family's 2925-position model. Lineage: Eukaryota; Metazoa; Chordata; Lepidosauria; Squamata; Viperidae. The record is from RNAcentral.
GCCUGUUUAUCAAAAACAUAACCUUUAGCUAAACAAGUAUUAAAGGCGACGCCCUGCCCAGUGAAUAUUAAACGGCCGCGGUACCCUAACCGUGCAAAGGUAGCAUAAUCAUUUGUCUAUUAAUUGUAGACCUGUAUGAAAGGCAAAAUGAGAGCCCAACUGUCUCUUAUAACAAAUCAAUAAAACUGAUCUUCUAGUACAAAAGCUAAAAUACUGACAUAAGACCAGAAGACCCUGUGAAGCUUUAACAAACCCAUUAAAUCUAAUAAUGAUUACUUUCGGUUGGGGCGACCUUGGAAUAAAAAAGAACUUCCAAUAUAUGACUACUCAUAAAAGAGGCAAACAAGCCUACAUUAGAUCCAGCAUAGCUGAUAAUUGAAAUAAGUUACUCCAGGGAUAACAGCGCUAUCUUCUUUAAGAGCCCAUAUCAAAAAGAAGGUUUACGACCUCGAUGUUGGAUCAGGACAUCCCAGUAAUGCAUCCGUUACUAAAGGUUCGUUUGUUCAACGAUUAACAGUCCUACGUGAUCUGAGUCAAAACCGGAGAG